UCUCCAGUUUACACAUUGAGGGGUUGUUUUGCCCUAAUCGGGAGGGGAAAGGGGAAGGAAUAUUAUGGGUUGUAGAUAUUUAAUUAACAUUUAAUACACGUGGAAGAGUGGGGGCAUUUCCAUUUCUUUUGGCCCCCAAAUGGCCACAAUCAAACCACCAAAGCUGGAUGGAAAAUGGACACGAAUUAAUUAAUUAAUUAAUUUAUUUAUUUAUUUAGGAGAACCAGUCCCAGAUGGAUUUUCCUCCCGGUGUUUUUCCCUCUCUGAAGACAAACCCAGAACGUUUCUUUGGUGAAAACCUCUCUUUCUGAUGUAUUUGUUAUAAUUUGAUGUUUAUUAUCCCGUGGGUUGCUUGGAGAGCCAUCAGUGACAGAAUUCCUGCCCCAUUCCCAGCAAGGGCUGCCAUGAUUCCAUAAGGAAUUGGGUCUCCUAGGGAAACAUGUGACUGUUCCCUCAUUUACUCCUCCUUUGGGAGCAGAUUCCAUAUGAAUUCACAUGGCUUUGGCUGAAAUUCCAAGGAUAUUAUUCCCAAGGGUCACUUGCCUACACUUUGGGUUGGAUUGAUCUUUCUUUAGGGCGUGAUUUAGCAAGUGCUGGAAAUUCUCCUCAGUGCUCGUGCAGCCUCUACUUCCAAAAUAUCCUGGGAAAAGGCUGGAAUGCAGCAUUCCAGCUCUGCCAGGAGCAGGGCUGUGUGGGAAGUGCUGCACAGAAACAGAACUGCUCCUGAAGAGCAGCAGGAAAGGAGGAAUAAAAACCAGGAGGUUUUUACUGCUGGAAAUGACUAAUUUAAAACAAAACCAAAGCCUUUCCAAAGCAUUGUCUCCUGCUGGAAGCAAGAUUUUCCAUCAGAUUUUCAGGAUUUGGCGAGAAUGCCUAAAAGAAAGCCAGAUAAAUAUUUCAGAUGCUCAGCCGAAGUUCACUCCGGGAAGGAAUUGCACCUGGAAGUUGUUCCUUGGGGUUUGUUUUAUUUGGAGUGAUGCUCUGGGCUCUUCAGGGUGGGGCAGGUCCCAUCCCAAAUAUCCCAUGGGAAUAGAAACACUUCAGCAUUCCUGGGAUAAAGCAGUUCGUCUUCAGCUUUGGCCCUCCCAGAUCCCUGAGGAUCCGGUGCUGCCGUUCUAGGACUCUCAAAAGCUGGGAGGAAGCCCUGGGCAGCCCCUGGGGUGAGAUCCCCUUAUCCCUCCCAAUUCCCAGCCCCUGGAAGUGACUGAUCCCAAAAUCCCGGUGGGGAAAGAGCGAUCCAAACAGCAAUUUGGGAUAUUAAAGAUUUAGAGAGGAGUGGUGAGACCCUGCCAGCUGGGAUGUGAACCAUGGCAGGAUAAGAGGAUGAGAAUUUGGGUUUUAUUCCAGCAAAAUUUGUAUUCCAGGAUUUUGGAUGCCAGGAACAACUUCCAGGUGGAAGGGUUUGAUAAUAUUCCCAUUUUACCAUCUCCUGACUCCAGAGCUCUCCUGGUGGGUGCAGAGCUCCCACUGGGCCCUCCCAGGGAUGUGGGAGCCAAACUGGAACCCGAGAUUCCGGAUCUAAGGACAAAAGGGGAAUAUUUUGGAAAUUAUUCAAUUCCCUCCCAGAUAAUAUUCCAGCCUUGAAGUCUCCUGCCUCCCUGGCCUCCUUGACUGCCUGUGUAGGGCACCCCUGGAUUUUCCAGCUCCCGGUUUGUCCGUGGCAAUGGGAUCAUUUUGGCCCCGCUGGACGAGCACUGGAAAACAGCUUGGAUUCCCUUUUUUCCCUUUUCCUCACAGGAAUUCCUGCCACCAGGACUGGGGAGUUCUUCCCUGUGCUGGCACAGCCCAGAACUUCCUCAUGAGGUGCAGCCAGAGGGAUUUUUCAUGGGCACAUCCCAUGGAUUCCUCCAUAAAUCUCCGCACAUGAUCCGCGGGGAAUUGGAGGCCAGAUUUUGAGCGUGGGUAAGGGAGACCUGUGGGAAAGCAGCCGCUGAAGGCACCAGGACCACAACAAUUCCUGAGCUCCAUCGCCAUGGAAACAGCGAAUCCACGCUUGGGCCAUGGAUGCAAACUGGAUUCCAGCGGGAGCAGCGGUGGGACGGCUCUGGAACAGCUCUGUGUGCUCGGCAUGGAGGGGGAAAGGUGGGAGAAGGGGUUUCCAUCUCCAGCUCAUCCCAGUAUUUCUGGUGGGUGAUGCAGGGAAUAAACAGAAGAAAGGAAGGUUUGGGCUCCAGUGGCUGCAGGGCCAGCCCUCACCGGGCUCUUGGAUUUCAGAAUGCUUGGAAUGAGCUCAUCCCACAAAAAGGAGCUGUGGACACAUCCUGGAUCAAGCUGAGGGUGGGGAGGCCCUGGCACAGAUUCCCAGAGAAGCUGUGGCUGCCCUGGAUUCCUGGAAGUGUCGAGGUUGGAAUAACCUGGGAUAGCGGGAGGUAUCCCUGCCCACGGCUGGGGGGUGGGAUUGGGGUGGAAUUUAAGGUCCCUCUAUCCCAAACCAUUCCAGAAUUCCAUGAAUGGAAAGCUCCCAUUCCUCAGGGAGUCCCACUGGAAGGGUGCCCGUGUGUCCCAAGGGGGAUCCCAGCUGUCUCCCUCUCCAGCCUGAGGAACAGCCAUUUUUCCAAUCAUUUUCCAGAGGCAAGCUCCGAAAAAUUCAGGAAGGAAGUUCAGCCUCAUUAAAACCCCUCUGUGUGUUCCCUGUCCCUCCUGCCCCUCUGUGCGCGCCAAACUGUGCCAAAGGCAUGGAAACAGAGAGCUGGGAAUGGGAUUCAUCCCAGAAAUCCCUUCCAUUUGCAUCCAAAGGCGGGAUAUUUAUGGAAGCAGCAGCAUCCUGUCUCUCUGGAUCUCGGCCUGACCCGGGGAACCUUUUAUUACAGCAAGAAUUAAUUAAUAUUUGAUUAUUUCCUGGCUCCUUGCCCCAUUCCCUCCCAUGGAUCCCAUGGGAAUAUUUUAUUUGUAUUGUGAAAAAAGGAGAUUUUAAUGAAAUUCUGCUACUUUUGUGCUCUGAGUUGCUCAAAUGGGGCAGGAAAUUGAGCCCCACCCUUCAGACACAUUAAUUCCCACUGUCCAGGGAGGGAACAGGGAAAACAGAAAAAGAUGGAAUUUUUUUUCACUUCUUAAGAAAUGAGAGGAUUGGGAAUUCCUGGAGCAGGAAAACCCAACCAAAUAAAAACCUCAAAAAAUCCCAACCAACCAAAAACCUUCAAAACACCAAAACAAAGCCCUGAAACACCAACAGAGAACCCCAGUAAAAAAUAAAACCCAAUUCCAAAGAAUCCCAGGGGAUAUUUCAGAGACUUCCCCGCGUUUGAAGCAGCCGUUCCCCAUCCAGAGGGGGACUUUUGGUCCAA
Long non-coding RNA from Corvus hawaiiensis (hawaiian crow), 3284 nucleotides. RefSeq lists it as uncharacterized. The record is from RefSeq and is a predicted model, not a curated record. NCBI's taxonomy places the organism in Eukaryota, Metazoa, Chordata, Aves, Passeriformes, Corvidae. The transcript is spliced from 2 exons.